Molecule: small nuclear RNA, 18 nt
Filed under: Arabidopsis thaliana (thale cress)
Lineage: Eukaryota; Viridiplantae; Streptophyta; Magnoliopsida; Brassicales; Brassicaceae
Description: snRNA_13146
Source: RNAcentral
UUUGGUCCCAAGGCUCGC